This is a long non-coding RNA of Onychostoma macrolepis, 2376 nucleotides long. RefSeq lists it as uncharacterized. NCBI's taxonomy places the organism in Eukaryota, Metazoa, Chordata, Actinopteri, Cypriniformes, Cyprinidae. The transcript has 3 exons. The record is from RefSeq and is a predicted model, not a curated record.
UCAGGGCAUACAAACAGUUUCAAUGGAAAAAUGACUAGGCACUCAAUAGGGGGCAGACAAGAUACUAAGCAUUACGUUGCUGGUCAGAGUCAGCAUUACAUUGGUCCAAAUGAUCUAGAAAUGCUUGCCAUAUACUGUAAAACUUAUUAAGAUUACCAAUAACUCCAUACUGGACUCUUUCCAUAUGCAAUAUUCCAGUAAGAUAGUUCAACCAGGUCUUAAACUGAGGAACAGUGUCCGAUUUCCACAGCCUCAGAAUGACACUCUUAGCAAUAAUCAUUCUGUAAAUGAUUGUACUUUGUACAGACACAUUAUGAUCUAACAGAGAAAUAGAAUAACCAAAUAAUGCAAUUUCUGGAUCAGGUGUAAAAUACAACCAUACAUAUCCGAGAACCAUUUAAAUAUGUCACACCAGAAAUCGUAUAGUUUUGGACAUGUCCAAAAGAGAUGGGUCAGAGAGCCUUCUGCAGAUUUACACCUGUCACAAAUAGGAGAGAUAGUAGGAAAAAUUCUGUGCAAUUUAGAUUUUGAAUAGUGCAGUCUAUGCAUCACCUUACAUUGAAUUAACUGAUGCCUAGAACUAAUAGAGCAAGAUCGAAUCCUACUGAGGCUCUCCUCCCAUACAUCAGCCUCAAUCUGCAUAAACCCUUUUUUAUAGAUUUUAAUGACAUGUUUCCACGGUUUUUAGCAUGGUAAAUCUACCAAAAAGGUUAUAUUUGAAAUUUUCAUAAAACAUAAAGCUUGGGCUAUAUUAACUUUGCAAAAUGAAAAUAAAAUAAUAUAAAGCUAAUAGUCAACUUGUUGCUAUAUGCUGAAUUAGUUGUAGUUCACCACUAUAUGCUUACCCAACCAUAUUUAUAUACAACCUCAAAAAUGUGAGAAGUGUCCAUUAAAUAAUGGUAAAAAAUAAUAAGUGUUCCUGUGGCUCAGUGGUAGAGCAUUGUGUUAGUAGCGCAAAAGGCCAUGGGUUCAAUUCCCAGGGAACACACAUACUGAUAAAAAAAUAACAAUAAUGUAUAACCUGAAUGCACUGUAAGUUGCUUUUAAAGCGUCUGCUAAAUGCAUAAAUGUAAAUUGUAAAUGUACAUGACUGUAAAUCCCAAAUUGGUUCAAAGGUCCUUUGGAUGAACAAAUUAUUUGUUCAUAUAAAUAAGCAAGAGUUGCUGUAUAAACUUUUUAAUAUAUUUUGUAUUACUAUGUCAAAUUUUAGGGGUUGAUGGUAAUAUAUUCUUUCAUUGUAAGAAGGUUCUGCACUUUACCCUACUUAUAUUUAUAAAAAAAAUAAAUAAAUAAAUAAAUGACAACUUGCAUCUGGUCUGUUGAUAGACAGAUAGACCUUUUCACAGGCGUCCAAUCACAGCUGACUUCCGGAAAAGGGGAAGUAACCAAUGGCGUUAGAGAUAACAAUUAAAACAGCAAGCCCCGCCCCACGACUGACAAAAAUAGAAGUGUUUGCGCGAGCGGGUGAGAGAAGAUCUAGCGCGAGGGCUUGUAUUGCGCGCAGAGGACAAGCGAUGCGCGCGCGAGUGUUUGAAAUUAGCUCGCGUGCUCCCGUUUCCUCGCGUGUAGAUCUGUUUUCCUCUCGCGGAAGUGAUUUACCGCGCGCGCCAGCAUAAGUGGUGCGCUCGGUUAUUAAUGGCAUAGAUUUGACGCCAUAGAAUCACUGGUCAAUAAAGCGCUUUACUGCAGCGACUCAACCAAAUGCAUCUUAUACGAGAUAAAUAAUAUAUACACGAUAUAUAUAAACCGGCUGAAAUGUUUUGAAAUCACUUGUAUCCUACCUGAUCGAAAAAAAUCCAGUCUUUCACUGUGCGUCAGUUUGAGUCUUGUUAAAGUUUUAAAUCCUUGCCGCCAAGAUGCUCCUCUGUCGGUCACGGAUUAUGGAAAGUGAAACUUAAAUUUAUAGGGGUGGUUGGAUUUAUUCACGCACGUUAAAAUAUUUAUUUAAUGCUUUUUUUUUAUCUUUUCAGAUUCUUAUUUACAGCAUUAUCAUAUAGGCUGUAUAUUAACUUAUUGGGAGAAAACCGGUAGUUCGAUGUGAAAUCAGACAUUGAGCACCCCCAUAUAGCCAAAAUGGCAUGAUCAUAACACCCCGCGAAUAUUCGACUGUGAGAUUGGGAGUCGAAUCAGGCUCCUCGAAUCGAAGCAUGGAAUCGUCGACUAUUCGGGGUCACCCCUAAUCUGAUGGCACAAGAAUAUAAAAAAAAAGAAUAUGUCAGCCGUCCAUGACAGGCCUAAACCAGUCAAGAGAGUCAUCUCCCUAUUGGUUUCUGAAAACAGGUCUGCCCACAUUGUAUCAGCAGAAAACAAGGAUGUGGUUUACAUGGCCAAUUCUCUAGCUUCCUCUUGAUGCUGGCAGAUUUAGGUAAGUGGCAC